UUUUCCGUUUGUAAUAUUUUGAUUUCUUCUUUUGAUUUUUUCUUUUUUCACAAAAUAUUAAUGAAAUCUAUGUAAAUACUUAAUAUCGUUAGUUAUUAAUAAAUUAUAGAACAAUUAUAUACGGUAUGCAGUUAAUAACAAUGACUUUUUAAUUGGGGUGUAAAAAUUACGCUAGGUGAUUAUUUACCAAAAAAAAACUAGGUGACUCUUCACAAGAUUAUACGACAUUUAAAACGUCUGAUUACACUAAUACUAAUGAGAAUAUUCAUGUAUAGUUAGAAUCAUUAGAAUCAUGAUAAUGGCUCUAUUCCCGUUUCACAUCGCAAUUAAUAAGAUUGAAACGAUUGAAGCUUCCGUGUCCGAGUGUUAAAGGUUAUUCUCUUGCACGACCGCUAACAAUGAUCCUCCAAGCAAGUCUCAAACGAGUUAUCUAACGGCAAUAAAGGCACGUAUCGUACAGCCAAUGGGCGGUGCUCGUUGCCGCCGAUAGUGGCAACUUCCUAUCGGCUUUUCAAGCGAUUGCUGCCGCUUGCAUCCGCAGAUCGGUUCUACAGAUAAGAAAACAGCCGAAGGCGCGAGGUGAUAUUGUCGAUUCUCGCGUGAUAUCUACGCGCAUGAUAUCUACGCGUUUUCUCGUAUGUCAUUCGAUCGAUGUGACCCGCUUUUUUUGUUCUUCACUUUCGAGUGAAAUCACUUGUUUUUCCUUCCUUCCUUUUUCCUUCCUUCCUUCCUCUUUUCUUCCUUCCAAUUCUUUUUUUUUCCCCCUAUGUGUGUAAAAUAUUGUUUGCUACAUCUUUUCAUUUAGGGGAAUAAUUCAGCGUUAGCAAUGUAAGGAAAACAAGUAAAGAGGCUCUGACGAGUUUCACGGAUCGCGGCUUUGAUGACGAAAUAAACCUGUUAAGCGUAAAAUAAUUUUCAUUUAGCUUCACCGUCGCGUAGCCGCGAUGGUAUACGUCUAACGCGGCGGAAUGGUGCAUCAUUAGUGCAUUGCGUUUAGUAUGUUUCUUGUCAAACAUUAAAAUUAGUCCGUGAAAUGUGCGCACGGUUUAACACAAACGUUGCGUUGAAACAAUUUAUAGUAAGCACACGUAGCAUAAUAUUGAAGCUCAUUUCAAGUUCAAAAUUUAUUUAAUCAAAUUGAUACAAAAUUCUUCUGAUAUGAUAAAAUAUAUUUUUGCAUACAAAGAUAUAUUAUUUGGUAUUUUAAAAAGCAUAUAAAAUAUGGAAGAACUUACAAAUUCAUUAAAUGAAUUGAUUAGAGGUUUAAGAAAAUUGAAAAACUUAUUAGUUAUCUCGUCGCAGCUUUUGAAAAAAAAAAAAAAAAAAAAAGAUUAGUCGGACAUUGCCGAACAUGUGCGAGGCUCGAAGUAUUAUUUUCGAGAUCAAGCCGCGACAGCCAAUCAGAUUCGAUCUACAUAUUCGUGUUUGACAUCUCGCUUUGAUCGUCGCUUAUCUGCGUGCAAAUUUUUUUUCGACGUCGAAAAGUUUCGACGUCGAAAACAGUCGAAACUUUCCAUGUUUCGACGAUGUCACGGCUAAUCUCUUCUCGGAAAUCGCAAGUUGGCCCUUUGUUUUCUUCGAUCUUCGGUGAGUUUUUCAUUCGGGUCAACGAGGACACUUCUUGGAAAUUCUCGUUCGGCACACCGUGUUUUGUUUUCGAGCGUCGACGGUUGGCGUCGCGCCGAGUCGCCAGGACUUUUUUUCGUUUCUUCGAAAUGACGAUCUCAAAGUGGCCAAUCACCUACUUGCCUCACUCGUCAUUUUUGCCCCCACCCAUCGUUUCCAACGCUUCGGCGACUCAGUUUCGUCGCGAAGUCGUGAGUGUAGGGUCGUGUCGGGAUUAUGCUCCGCGAUCGCGCGUCCUUUCGUUUCGUCGUGAACCUCGAACUGGUCGAACGUACAAACGAGUGUCGGGAGUAUCGAAUUCAAGCGACGGGCGAUCGCUUCGGUCUGUUUGUUACUUCGUGUCGUGUCGUCGUGUGUUGAGAAAUAACUACGAGAAACCGCGCACGUGAAGUGCACUUGGUAUCUCGAGGGUAUCGCGUUUCAACGAGCAGCUCGUGGCUUGUCCGAAAGAGUUUUGUGCUUCUUGUUUUAUCGAUAUAGAAAUUGAUCGAUAUAUCGAGAGUGAUGCUCGAGCCUCGCUCGCGUUUAUGUCGCCGCUGGUUUCUUUUCGACAGGUUUAUUCGCACCAAGGUGGCCGGCGAAUCGUUUCCUCCGUCUCCGCUCUUCAAUUUUUUUACAUCAGUUAAGUACCUCGAUCCCGAUCGCGGAGACAGGUGUGUGAAAUACGCGGAAAGUAUUCGAUAUCGUGAAGUGCGUCGCGUUCAACACACUUCACUCUGCAGUCGUCGCCCGUCGCUUGUCCGCAGGUGGUGUCGCACCAUCCGCGUUCUUCGAGACAAAAGUUGGUCGAAAUCUCGGAAACGGUGGUCAAGUCUCGCAUUUACAUUGGUCGUACGAAGGUGAUUUUCACAAGCCGUUUCACUUUUUUCUUAUAUUUCCCGAAUUUUUGCCGAGUAUCUCAGUCCCGUCGGGAGACUAUCGGGCAGGCCGAAUAUCGUAAAUGAUAAUAAUGACCAUGAUUUGGCGUUGGUUAAUUGGUUAGACCCCGCGCAAGGCACGGAAAAAAAUAGAACAAUGUCGUGUGUGAAGAGUGCGCGGAGUAAUCAAUGUCGUGAAGUGCGUCGCGUUCGGCAUUCGCGUCGCGGUUCAGUUCACAGCGUCCGUCGCUUGUGCUUUGAAUGUGAUUUCUCGUUUCUCGUUAUAAAUAUUCGAGAUCUCGGAAGCGAUGCUCAAACCCGGUCUGUACUUUAUCGCAGUCAGUUUCUUUUUUCGCGAAAAAUGGCAUUGUGGCCAUUUCCUUUCACGUUAUGUCAAAAAUUUCGCAAUUAAGUAUUUUAGUUCCGUCGCAAAAGUACGCGGAGUAAUCAAUGUCGUGAAGUGCGCCGCGUUCGGCAUUCGCGUCGCGGCUCAGUUCACAGCGUCCGUCGCUUGUACUCUGAUGGUGAUUUCUCGUUUCUCGUUAUAAAUAUUCGAGAUCUCGGAAGCGAUGCUCGAACCCGGCCUGUACUUUAUCGCAGCCAGUUUCUCUUCUCGCGAAAAUGACAUUGUGGUCAUUUCCUUUCCCGUUAUUUCCAAAAUUUCGCAAUUAUGUACUUUAGUUCCGUCGUAAGAAUGCGCGAGAUUCAAAUACCCGUCGGAACUUUGCGAUCUCGUUUCUUCGAUCCUUUAUUUUACGUCUUCAACGUGACUGUCGCGUACGAAUAAACAUCGAAUCGAAUAAUUAAGCGAUCGCCCCGCGUUUUUUCAGUCCGCGCAAUCGUCUUGUAAAAUUCGUAAUUUCGCGUCGCGAUGAUCUAACUUGAACAUCCCUCGAUCGUUUGUAUGCAGCGAUUUAUGCCACGCGAGUGUCAGUGAUAAUACGAGUAUAACCAAGGGCACCUGCUGCGGCAGAAGGGAGGAAAGGGACACCCGGAAGCAGACAGGAAUUGGCGACGUACCGAAGACGGUUCUUACAAUUCCUGAACCCGAAUGCAACGUGAUGGUGAGGAAAAAA
Molecule: long non-coding RNA, 3559 nt
Filed under: Monomorium pharaonis (pharaoh ant)
Lineage: Eukaryota; Metazoa; Arthropoda; Insecta; Hymenoptera; Formicidae
Description: uncharacterized LOC118647117
Source: RNAcentral